This 674-nucleotide ribosomal RNA is filed under the name uncultured delta proteobacterium. RNAcentral describes it as "bacterial SSU rRNA". It matches the Rfam family "Bacterial small subunit ribosomal RNA", at positions 55 to 704 of the family's 1533-position model. Lineage: Bacteria; Deltaproteobacteria. The record is from RNAcentral.
AUGCAAGUCGAACGGUAAGGCCCCCUUCGGGGGGUACACGAGUGGCGCACGGGUGAGUAACGCGUGGGUAAUCUACCUUUGGGUUUGGGACAACUCCGGGAAACUGGAGCUAAUACCGAAUAAGACCACGGAGCCUUCGGUCUCUGCGGAAAAAGAUGGCCUCUUCUUGAAAGCUAUCGCCCGUCGAUGAGCCCGCGUACCAUUAGCUUGUUGGUGAGGUAAAGGCUCACCAAGGCUACGAUGGUUAGCUGGUCUGAGAGGAUGAUCAGCCACACUGGAACUGAGACACGGUCCAGACUCCUACGGGAGGCAGCAGUCGGGAAUCUUGGGCAAUGGGCGAAAGCCUGACCCAGCAACGCCGCGUGAGGGAUGAAGGCCCUCGGGUCGUAAACCUCUGUCGGGAGGGAAGAACAGCAUCCAGUCGAAUAGGCUGGGUGUUUGACGGUACCUCCAAAGGAAGCGCCGGCUAACUCCGUGCCAGCAGCCGCGGUAAUACGGAGGGCGCAAGCGUUGUUCGGAAUCAUUGGGCGUAAAGCGCGUGUAGGUGGCUUGGAAAGUUGGAUGUGAAAGCCCGGGGCCCAACCCCGGAAUUGCAUUCAAAACUCCCUCGCUAGAGUCCCGGAGAGGAAGGCGGAAUUCCCGGUGUAGAGGUGAAAUUCGUAGAUAUCGGGAGG